AGAAGCAAGCCUCGGGUUAGGAGACUUGAUCCCGUAGGUACAACUUGGAGUAGACACCGACAGGCCGGCCUUCCUCCGAUCCACACCUCCACUCUAUCUCUCUCAAUCUAGUAGAAACUAGAAGAUCUAUUUCUACCUUACAUUGGUUGCUAAGCCUAAAAAGAAAUAUUAUUUAGAGAAGAGGUUUUCCUUCGAGGGCACCCCUCAAUCUCUAUGAUAAUUUCUUGUCUCCUCCAGGGGCCAGAGGGGGUCUCCUUAUAUAGUCCUCCCCUUCUAUGCGUUUUUGGGUCGAUAGGCGAGGUGGUACUAUGUUAUUCUGGAUCCAAUAGGUCGGUGGAACGUCGUGUGCGAAGAGAGUCCGGAACGGAGUCCAGAGGGGGGCGGGCGCCUAGGUCCUCAGGGCGGGCGCCCUGGGCCUGGCCCCUUUCGGGCUCCGCUUCCUUCCCGUGGCUUCUGGAGUCUUCUAGAUGGUAGAAAAUUGCGCGGUGGGUUGAUAUCUCUAUGUAAUCUCGACAUGUGGGCCUUUCUUCCUUAUUUCCUGAUAACCCCCUGCAGAAAUAGACAAACACCAAAACUCGUGGAAUUCUGUCAGAUAAAACCCUAAGUCUAGAUGUUGAUUUCAUUUGGAUCCUUUUCUUUGUUUAUUUGAUAAUUAAAUUUGAUACUUAAGGACCGUCAACAAACUCCCCCAAGCUUACCUCUUGCUCGUCCCUGAGCAAGGAUGAACUCAAGAGUUUCUACAGUGGUUUCAUUUCUUAGAAGUACACACGCAUUUAAGCAAGAUCUCAUCUCUGAGUUAGAAUAAACUGUUAAGACUUAAAACUUACUUACUUUACCUACACCAUAGGACUUGUAACCGUCACUUCUGUCUUGAGUGGUUAAAAGAUAGAACAGUCUAGCCAAGUGUCAUGUCUCUUAUUCUUGAUCAGCUAUAGCUCUGGGUUUUUUCAGAUUUUCAAAUAAAACUCAGAAAUUCCUUGUAUGAUUCACUCAGGUCUCUCUUUUGUGGUAUUUUUGGAUCCUUACCAAGGCAGUGAUGGUAUAUGCCUUCUCUCAAGAUAUGUAGUAUUUGUGGUAUGAAGCAUAGUGACAUUAUCUUCUCUCUCACCCUACUCUAAUAAGGCUUUAAUAUCUGGAGCUCAUAGGUGGUAGAUAAAGUAUACAUACUUACAAGACAUUUAUUGCAUAGUCAAACCAUGGAUCCAAAGAAACAAAUCAAUAAGCCAAAUCAAGAUGUGCAUGUGUGGCGAAUGAAUGGUGUAUGGUGAUGAUGGUGAUAACAAUGGUGGUGGAAGUCUAAUUCUACUUUGCUCUUUGAGGGGAUACAUACCUUCCUUGCUUUUGAAACUUUAUGAGGAGAAUGAGAUGCUCUUCUUUUUCUUUUCUUUCGAGGUUCCGAGCACUUGCUCCUUUUUAUUUCCUCGUAUCUUUUAUUUUCUUUUUCUCUUUUUUUUCAGAGCAUUCAUCUCUUGAGAUAAUAUAGCAAGUGGUAGUAACAAGAUAACUUGAGCAUUUAUUUUACAAGGGGAAACAGAAAUAUUUUUGGUUAUUCUCUCCCGGAUUAGGAGUAGAAUACUUUUGGAUGAACCUGGAGAUGGAAAUGUGUGGAUGUAUGUGGAUGCGUACUUCCAGAGUAGAAGUAGCAUGUAUGAGUGAACGUGCAAGUGAAUCUUGAUUUAACCACAUGACAAGCUCCUAAGGGUCUACACAGCUUGACCAUACUCAAUGCUCAUAAGCAGUAAAAAGUAAAUGUGUGGCUCAAAGUCUAAUAAGCAUGUAUAUAUGGCUGUGGUAGGAUUUUAAACUCUCAUCAUGUGUUAUUUUAAAGAUUUUUAAAGAUAAAAUUCUCUAGAAUUCUAGCAUCUCUAGGAACAGAUAAACAGCAGCUCAACCUUCCCAUAUCGUAUCCGUUAACAACUUAGACUUCAGAUCAAGUUUUCAUCCCACAAGUUUAGGUCUAGAGCAAGCCUUAAAUUAUAACAGUUAUAUCUAAACUUGAGAGAGAACUUCAAAUUUGCAAUUUAGGCAGAGCAACUAUUCAUCAUAUCCAUGCUUAAGUUUUAUUAGAUACAGAUUAGCAUAGCCACUUUAUUUAUUUAUUAAACACACUAAGCAAAAUAUAUAUAAGCAUAAAAUCUUUAUUUGGUUUUUCAUAGUUAUGUGUAUUUAUAUUCUAAUAUAGUAUAAGUAUAAAGAUAGAUAGAAAUACUUAUUGAGAUAAAUGGGGGUGCUCUCCCCCAAGCUGAAUUUUGACGUAAUUUCUUUUGAUGUAGCUAGCAGGUGGCAGAGGUGUGUUUGAAAGUCAGCAGUAUUUUGACAGCGAUUAGAAUGUCCUCCGUCUGCUAGUCUUCUUGAUUCUUAAAUUCUGUGGAGCUCAAAUAGACAACAAAGCUUGUGGAACUGAUUAAGUGUUAGCAUAAAUAUCUAGCCUUUAUCAUAUUGAGACUCCUUAAUAAAUAUUACUCCCUGUUUUUAUAUUUUUGUUUUUAUAAAGUAGAAAAAUAUUUAUUUUAUUUUUAUGCCACCACAGUGAAUGUACUUAUGGGUUUUAUGCCACUCGUCUACUCACAUGGGGCUUACAGUUUUUUUUUCACAUUUUUAUUUUCUUUCUAGGAUAAUACGAACAUGAUUAACUAAGUAAACUAUUUGAAAUAAUUAAAAGGGAAAGGAUAACUACCAAGUUUACCUCUUGGCAAGGCGUUCGGUGUUUUUAAGUCCUCCGAGCGGGACUCUCCAAUUUCUUAAUCGUCCUGAGGUUCGUUGGGUGGCGUAGUCGGUACUUCCGGCAGCGCCUCCUCUUCAUUUAUAACUAUCUUCUCUCUCCACACCUAACUCGGUGCUACGGUCUCCUCAGGACAGUUAUGUUCAAGUGGUAUGUCUUCAGUCCUUAUCACUUCUCCUUCGUAGUCUACCCAUCCGUCCUUGAUGAUUUGCCUCCUCUGGUUGCGGUUGCGUUGUCUUCUUCUUGUCCUGACCUGCUUAGAGUCUUCAACUAUAUAGUUAGGGUCAGUAAAACAGCGGCAUACCUUCUCAGAGGAGAAGUGUAUGUGGACUUCUCCGGUUCCAAUAUAGAUGAUGGCUUUGAUAGUGCUGAGGAACUGUCUUCCAAGGAUGGUGGGUGGAUCAUACUCGUCUUCUCCCAUGUCAAUGACCUGAAAAUCAUCUAUAGCUGAAUGUAUAUUGGUUGUAGGGGCAUGGUUUCAUGCAGGAGCUGAUAAGUGACUACGACCAUUAUGUUGACGUCAGAUCCGGUGUCGUAGAGUGUCUUCUGAAAAGAGUAUCUGUUGAUUGUGCACUCAAUGCUUAGAACACCAGGGUCGUCCUUCUUGAUCAAGAAAGGUGACUUGAGUCGACGAUCUUGACCUCCUUGAACUGCAGUGACCAUCUUAGCUGACUCGGUCCACAUUUGCUUGUUCCUGUUCCUCCUGUUGGUCCUCUUCCUUGGUUCAUGUCGGGGUUGCUCUGAAGUUUGUGUAGUCUUGUUCUUGAAGGAAAGUCUCCUUCUUCCCCUUGAUGUAGAGACUGAUCUUGGCAGCAUUAGCGUAGAUGACAGCUCUAGUGUUUAGGAAUGGCCUCCCUAAGAUGAUGGGUGCCCUCUCCUCAGUACCAGUCUCUAUCACCAUGAAGUCUGCUAGAGCAUACAAGGUACCAACUCGGACGCAGAGGUUCUUCAAUAUUUCCUUUGGGAAACUGAGUGUCCGAUCUGCAACCCUGGGCAUAAUGUUGAUGCUGGAGCCAAAGUCGCAGAGUGCUUCUGUGAAGUCCACCAUGCCGAUGGAGAUCGGGAUGACGGGACGUCCUAGAUCACCUCUCUAAGUAAUUAGGCCACUGUUGAUUCCAACCUUGAUGUUGUUGAGGACGGUUGUAGUAAUAGUUGUUAUUGUUGUUGAUGUAGUUCACGUCCUCAAGCAUCUUAGGGCAGUGAUUGCCUGAGCGUCCAGUAUCUCCAGUGUGUUUAUGCUCGUAGAUCCUAGUUCUUCACUUGGUGGAAUCUGGGAGUUGUAAAACUCCUUCAUAUUAUACUCGAAGUGUUCCUGCUCAUAGAAACAAGGUAGAGAUCAAGUGCAUGGGCCCUGUUGGUGGAAAACACCAACAGAACCAAAAGUGUAUUUGUUCUUCUCUAACCUUAAGCAUAGUGAGCAAGACAAAGUUGAUGGAUCACGAGUGUAGCAUUUGUCAGAUCAGAUGGCUCAACCUAAUGGAAAGAUAAUCUAUCUAUAUUUAUGUUUUGUUUAUAUCUUCCAAAGGUUGCAUGUGCAAUACUUUAGCUUAUAUGAUUAGGAGUGUGGGGUCACGAAGGUAGUACUAAGAACAAAGAUUAAAGGACUAAACAUGUUGAAUUAAUUGAGUUGGUUAAUUUGGAGUUAUAAAUCAUACAUGUUUGUCUCUUUAUUUAUGUGAAUGCCAGAACUAAGGAGGAGCUUAUAAAAGUGUUAGUCAAGUACCUUAAGAUGUUACCUUACUUGAAGAGUGAUGGUACUGUAUCACCUUGUGGAAGCUUUCCUUUCUUAGCGGUUGUGCAUCGUGUUUGUGGCACCCUCCAUGAAUCAUCUCUUAUGAGCUACGUCUUUCUUGUGCAAAUUGUUAAACUUCAUGUGUCACUUUCUUCAUCUCUAAUGAGUUUGCAUCUCAGGACUUCCCAGGUUGUUAUUGAAAGUUUUCCUACAGGGGUUAGUCCAACAAAAUAUACCAAUAUCUACUCAAACAGUUUUUAGUUCAGUAACCAAACUAGACUCCAUGUCUAAUCAGAUUAAGGAAGGCUAUUUAACCUAAGCACCACGCUUAAUUUAAAUGCCAUUGGAAGUGUGACCAGUACUUCCAAACUAACACUUACUAGGAUAAACAAAGGUAGCAUGAUGGCUUUUAUAGAGAUCUACUCAAGUGGAGAUGAAGUAGUGUGAUUAGUAUUUAACAAAUUGAGCAUGUCUCAAAGGUAAGGUCAACCAACAUAGCAACAUGGCAAAGGAUGUUUUAUGUAAAGUACUCCCCCAAGCUUGAAUUUUGCAAAAUUCAAGAUUGGAUGAAUUUAAUUUAAUGUUGCAUGAUGAUUGGUUGGGCAUACCUUGCGCUUGUCAUUCAUCCGAUCUUCUUGCUCCAAUCCUAGAAAGGUUAGUGGCAAGAAUACCCGAAGGAAUAUUUCUACAAUUAUCUUUAUAUGCUCAAUACACAAGGCAAUGUUGCAAAUAAUUAGAAGUGCUUGUUUUAGGACACUAAGCUUGUCCUUGGGGAACCAUCAAUUAACUCAACGAGAUCUGCAAUAUUUAUUAUAGACAUACGCAUCGACAACCGCCCUUUUAAAGUUUUUAUAAAUAGAAAAGAAGAGGGGGUUGGAGAUCUCAAAUGUGGUAAGGAUGGAGAGACAAAUUGAUUGGAGAGAUGUUUUAUAUGAGCAAGGACUGGAUGAGGUAUUUAUGAAAUAACUUCUAUGCUCACUGUUGUUUCUCUCAUUCUCAAACUCCAAGGAUGAUUCUUCAUGAAUGUUUAAAAUUCCUCUAGGAUUGUCUCUCAAGUUUGUUUUAUCUAUCCAUUCAAUGGUGAUAGCACAUGGAUUUUUAAUGCCCUCUAGCCAUUGAUGUUGCUCUUCUCGAUCCUCCUUCUUAUGCAUGGGAUGUCUAGAAAGAUUCAUAGGAUUAUCGGGAGGUUCAAGAGGAAGAGCAUAGUAGAAACUAUUAAGCUCAAGGAUGGGAUGGAUAGCCGAAUCAUGGGAUUGAAAUGUUUGGAAAUCGGCUAUUGAAACUUCCUUUCCUUGUCUGGGAGAUGAUUCCUUCUCUAUCUCUAAGAUUAUUCUAUGAAGGCUAGUACAAGAAGGAUGUCCACAAAUGAAGACAUACCUUCCUUUACUAAUAGAUAAAGAAAGAAUGACUCUACCAAAGGUUAUAUGAUUAAGACCAAUGUGAAAAUAUCUAGGAAAAACAUGGUCUUGUAGGGCUAGGUCUAAACUGUAACAGAACCGACCAAAUUAUAAGAGAUUAAGCCUAAUAGUGACCACUUGCAUAGUCGAACCAUCACGCUUAAGCCCAUAUAAUCCCGGUAGUCCGUGAAAUCUCGGAGGAUUUCAAACCACACAUUGCAUAACAGCCAAGAUCGUAAUAAGUUUAGUGGCCGCCAUCCACAAGUUCAUCCAGAUUACAACAUUCAUGAAAUACAUCGGUGUUCUUAAAGUUAUUACAAACCAGGUCCUUCAAGUAGCGGAAGCUCCAUAGUUCGAAAAUACAACACACACGAUAAGUCUGAUACAGUGCCAUAGUUCGGUCAUUCCCACAAAAGCAAAAGAAGAGACGGAGUGACCAUCGCCCUUGGUCUAGUCAUCACCCAUGGCUGGGUACAGACAGAGGAUGCAAUAACCAUAGUACAUUUGACCAUCUGCAAAACAACAUGGGAGUAGAACCCUGAGUACGAGAAGGUACUCAGCUAGACUUACCCGUCAUAAACUUAAAAUAACGACUCGUCAAGGAUCAUGAAGGCUAUAUAGUGGGGUAGCUGACAACCAUUUUGCAAAACCGCAGUAUUUCACUAUCAUAACCUACAUAAGUAUUUCUUCUUUUAAUUUGCUCAAGUUGAAAGUAUCAUUACCUAUUGUUGAUGCAAAACUGAUCUGCAAACACAAAGGGCUAAUACCCGACUCAAACGUUAAGGCGUGCCAGCCGAUUUGACCUUGCUAUCGGCAAAGGUGAUAACUCGAAUACUUUAGUCCUGACAACAGCGAUGCGCCCGGAUGUCACGGCUAAGAGGUACUCAUGCGGAACUUGAGAACACGUCGAGCUUAAGUCGACGAAUUCCUAAGAACUCGUAACAAAAGGAAAAAGUAUGACGAAGUCGUCGAAAAGUAAAUGCUAGAAUAUGAGUAAAAACGUGUGUUUGAUUGAUUUCUUGAUUGAUGAUCUAUUACAAGGCCCUAGGGUCUACAUUUAUACCCUGCUCAAAGAGCUACAACCAGACACGAUUAGAAUUCGAAUUCCAAAUUACACGGAAUCCGUAUACAAAACGAUGCAAAUAAUUAAGGAAAUAACAAAACUAUCCCUCGUGACAAACCGAAACUCCUCCACAUAACGACCGGCAGCUUCCGGACUCCCUCUUUGCAUCAUCGGCAGACCUUUGCCAUAGUCAUCGGCAGACUUUCUUAUCUAGCCAUCGGCACCAUAUUACUGCCUGUGGACUUAAUCACGUUCAACCUCUCCCUCAUCGGCAACCAUCCUCAUCGGCAACCCACUUUGUAAACAUCGUACUGCCACCUUAUCCUGCCAUCCCAGACACGUGCCCAAAAACGGUGUCAACACAUGCCCCCCAGUUUCGGAGUAUAAAACUAUUAAUGCUCCGAAAUUCUCUGCAGUAAUGAUGCCUUUUCCCGCAAUUAAUGCUCCUAAUCUGGUAACCGACAACCUCAAUCUGAACAACUCUGAUCCUAUUCCUCCGCAGAUUUCUCGAAAUCCCCAACUUUCUAAACGGGCAUUUUUCUCAGCCGUACAUCGGCAACAAUACCGUUACAAAGAUCUGCCGAUGUUCUGACCAGGAUAUUCGCACAAACGGUUAUUUCCCCUCUAUCCGCCCAUCGGCAAUAUGACCGUUGUAGAAUAUUGCCGAUGGACCGACCAGGAGAUCUCGCACAGUAAAAUAUCUUCAGAUAAUGACCGCUUCCUGUCAAAUCACCUGCACAAUCCCUGGAUUACCGUGCGAAUAGUUACCAUAUCCACCUGAGUACCCUCGGAUUUCUCGGAUGCGGCAAAGAGAUAAGUCGGAUUUGCCCUUGCCCAUUUUGUCCUAUAAAUAGUUCCUUCUCGGGUACUCCUUCCCCAUCACACCAUUCUACUACCCAACUUUACUUUUCCAGCGGCGGCGCCACCAAAAACUCCCAAGGUCUCUGACAAGUACCCCUCUUCACCAACUCUGGCGCCUUCAAACGCUUCCUUCGCAGCAAGAUGGCCGUCGGGUUCGUCGUCCCUGAGGUCAAAUCUCCACCCCGUCUUCUGUAUUUUUCUUCAUAUCCCUGUUCACUCGCAAUCCAUUUUACUGAACAUCUUCCUUUUCUUUCCUCUUUGUAUUUCUUUUUACGCCCAAAAUCACUAGGAAUUGUCCAACAAAAUUGUCAUCCCCACCGAUCAACCACACCUUCAAUGCCUCGGCCCUCUAGGGGUCCCAGAUCCAACUGACCUUAUCAACGCAGAAACCAACAGGAUCCCCUUCAGAGCCGAAAAUUUUUCCUUAGAUCUGUGGAAGGACACCUUCCGCUCUUGGCCCAGCCCAACUGUAGGGUGGAAAGACUGGUUCUUGAGGGUCAGCAACUCUAAUGAAGUUCAGUGGGGUGAAAGGAAUCUAGCCCAAUGCAUCAGAUUGUCCAUUGCCGAUAUGCAUAGGAACGAGUCACUGCUGAUAGCUGCAUCCUACUUUUGGUCAGACACCCUCAAUGCUUUUGCCUUUGGCCACGGCCCUGCUUCUCCUACUCUUGCCGAUGUAGCCAUGCUUACUGGUCUAGAUAUAUCUUCUGCCGAUAGCACCCACUUUUUUGAUACUGCCCCUAGUGCCAAAGUGGAGACUCGCGCUAUCGGCGGUUGGUCGGGGUACAUUCAGAAGUACCGUGGGAAAGGAUCUGUCACCAUAAAGGAACAAACCACCUUUCUGAACAUGUGGCUGGACAAGUUUGUAUUCUGUGGUCGAUCGGCAGGACCGACUUCUGUCUACCUAUCGGCAGCAGAAAGACUGGCUAACGGUGGCCGAUUCCCUCUCGGCCGAUACUUGCUUGGCGCUGCUUACCAUCUUCUCCAUCAAGUAGCCCAGAAACUUCUGCUCGGCCAAUCCACUGGCAACUUGGGAGGCCCCUGGUGGUUCGUCAACAUGUGGCUCAAUCUGCAUCUGCACAAGCGUCUCAACUUCAACCUGUUCACACAGCGUUUCCCAAGAGAUAUAGCUGAAAACCAUGUGUUGGGUGAAGAGGAAUCGGCAACACGCGCCCCCUUGAACUUUGGCGAAGCUGUCAUAGUUCUGCCUGGUUCAGGGGGUAAUCCAGAUCAGAUCGGCCGAUUCUUCCAGACUCUGUAUGAGGGUUUGACCAGAGACGAACGACCAUGGUUGGCUUAUGAUGACCCAGAUAGCAUGCUCCCUCUGACCUUCAAUCCAUUUGAUGAAGCUCUCGACAGGGACAAUGAGGUGAUGAUGGCAAUCGUGACUCCCAGAAUCAUUCCAGUGAAUUUCUUUGGUAGCACAAAAACCUCCCCUCAAACUUACGAAUUUUACAAUCCAUCGGCAUUAGUUCGCCAGCUAGCUUUCGGCCAGUUGCCGAUUGCACUUCCUUAUGCCGAUGUGAUAAAACCCAGAGAAACUAUCAACAAUCUUCUUGAGUGGACUCGAGCAGCCCAACUACCACCAAACGCCGAUAUAGAUGUAGAUCUGUCAGAAUGGGUCCCGGCUGCUUUUAUCACUCAGGCAUACAAGUUAUGGUGGGCAGAAUGGAAAGAGCAUCUGUUCUGUAGAUCAGCACUUUCAUUCCGCGGCAUGAUUGACUCCGAAUACGAAGUUCCUGAUGACACUGUAAGUAAUUCAAACCAACGUUUCAUUUUCUCAAUAUUACCUCCAUCGGCAGCUUACCCUUGUAUUCCUUUUGCAGGUUGAUAAUAUUCCUCCGUUGGUUAGCAGGAGUGGUAGGCCGAUCGACUUGUUUCCAUCAGGCCCGAUUUCCUCAAUCGGCCACAAUGCUCCCACUCUAGCUUCCAUCGUGCAUCGGGGUGUACGCCUCAGGAAAGUCACCACCAGAAGAACCCAGACAUCACCAACGGUAGCUGCUCCCACUCUCGCGCGGGCUUUCAAGGCAAUUUGUCAAAUCUUUUCCUUUAUGCUGACUAUCUUUAUAUCGGCUAUAUUUAUGCUUAUAAACUCUUGUUCAUUAUUGCAGCAAACCGGCGCAUCGGCGAAAGCCAGGCGUGAGAGUACCGACGCCCUCCAGUCUAGCCAACCCAAGAGAAAGGGCACCACGGGUGCUAAGACUGGAACAAAGCGCCAGAAGGUAGCAAUCCCCCCUCCUCCUCCAGUAUCUCCAAUUCCGGUGGAAUCUUCUCCUUCUUCUCCAGAAGCCCAGCCACAGCAAGCACCAUCUCCCCCACCUAUGUAGGAAGCACCACAGAUAGAAGAACCCCAACAGGAAGGAUCUCAAACAGAAGAUACAUCAGUUGACAUGGGUGAACAAACAACUGGCCCGGUGAGUCCAGUUAUACCAUCGGCAGUUCUCCCGGUUCAGACAACCGUUGUCCCUCCUCCAGGUAACAUACUUUAACAAUAUCGCUACCGAUGAACUUAUUCUUAUUUAGUCUCAUAACUCCUUUUGUCUUCUUUCAGUUGAUAUUGUUCCAUCGGCAAUUUCAGCCGAUCAACCUGUAGCUCCAUCGGCAUCUUUGGCCGAUCAGCCUGUAGCUCCGUCAGUACUUCUCAGUCAAAGACAAGAGAUCGCCUUGAAGCAAGUAAGUCACCGUUUACCGUUAGCAUUAUUUGCCGAUUCUCUGAGUAUGAGCUAAUUUUGCUUUCCCUCCCAGGAACAAGAUUCUCCCGAUAGCCUGUUCUCCUUUGCCAUCGAUCUCUCUAAAGAAGAAGGUGAAGAAGCAAGCUCUUCUCAGACGGUCGGCAUCACAUCGGCAGAGAUCAGGGUCAGGCUGGAAGAAUUGUCAGCUCUCCUUCACCAAGACACAGCGCAAUUGGUUGAUGAUUCUGACCCUACCAAGACCCUGUUCAGAACUCUCAGAGGCCAAAUCCCAGCCGAUGUUGAAGAAAUCCUGUUCCAAGCCGCUCAUCUGGAGAGUCGCCAGCUGCAGUACCAGAGAGCUUCUCGGCGUCUUGCCGAUAGAGCCGCUCAGACUCAACUCUCCGAUGAAAUGAGGAAAGAGAAGCUUUUGACCGAUGAGAAGCACAAGGACAUCGGUAUCCUGAGAUCUUCUGGAGACGCACUGAAGCAGAAGAUAUCCGAUCUAUCGGCAAGAAAAGAAUCCCUGUUGGCGGAACUCAAGGAAGUAGAGAACGCUCUGUCCCAAGCCCAACAGGAAGAGAGCCAAUUGCCAGAGACCAUCAGGCUUUUUGAGCACGAGCGAAAUGUUCAUGGUCGCAAGGCACUUCAACUGAAGAAGAAGCUGAAGCCGAUAGAAGGUUCUGCCGAUGACGACAUCAAGGAGAUGGAAGCAGCCAACCAAAUUCGGCUACGCGCUAUAUCGGCAAUCCAGACGCUGCUUAACACAUAGAGUUUCCAUCGGCAUUAUAUCUGCGCUUUCCUUCUUCCUCAGCUUUUAGUCUAGCCGAUAGGACUGUUAUCGGCACCUAAGCUUUUGAAACACCAAGUCUUGUCCCCAAGCGUUUGGAUCCAGCCGAUAGGAGUGUUAUCGGCACCUAAACUUCUAUGCAUCGACCCAUAUACUGGGGUAGUACUUCUUUAAAUAUUUGCCGUUUAAUGCUCUGGGAAAUUCAAUUCCUUCGAGGGUUUCUAGAAUGUAGGCAUUACCAGGAGCCGAUCGACUUAUCCGAUAAGGACCCUCCCAAUUAGGAGACCACUUUCCAAACUUCGAACUUUUGGUCCCAAUUGGUAAAAAUAAUUUCCAUACCAAAUCCCCAUCGGCAAACUCUUUAGCCUUCACUUUCUUAUCAUACCAUCUAGCAACUCUCUUCUUAUUUUCUUCUAUACUCAUUAAAGCUUUUAACCGAUGCCCUGCUAGAUCGUCCAAUUCAUCGGUCAUCAAAGUGGCAUAACCAUCGGAAGUUAAUUGAUCUUGAAAAGUUAAUCGCCUAGAUCCAGUCUUAAUCUCCCAAGGCAACACUGCAUCAUGUCCAUACACCAAUUGAUAGGGUGAUACUUUGGUCGAUCCAUGACAAGCCAUCCGAUAAGACCACAAUGCUUCACUCAAUAAUGUGUGCCACCGCUUAGGAUUUUCUUCAAUCUUUCGUUUAAUAAGCUUGAUAAUUCCUUUGUUAGACGCUUCGGCCUGCCCAUUGGCUUGAGCAUAAUAAGGAGAAGAAUUCAACACUUUAAUUCCCAUACCGAUCGCGAAUUCAUCGAACUCCCCCGAUGUGAACAUGGUGCCCUGAUCGGUAGUAAUCGUUUGGGGAAUCCCGAAUCGGUAAAUAAUAUGCUCCUUCACAAAAUCAAUCAUAUUGGCCGAUGUGACUUUCUUCAAAGGAAUAGCUUCAACCUACUUAGUGAAAUAGUCAGUGGCAACUAGAAUGAACUUAUGCCCUUUGCUAGAUGGUGGAUAAAUCUGGCCGAUCAGAUCGAUGGCCCAUCCCCGGAACGGCCAAGGCUUUAUUAUAGGAUUCAUAGCCGAUGCGGGUGCUCUCUGGAUAUUACCAAACUUUUGACAACCUUGACAUCCCUUGAAAUAUUUAAAACAAUCUUCAAGCAUGGUUGGCCAAAAAUAUCCAUUCCUUCGAAUCAUCCACUUCAUCUUAAAAGCUGACUGAUGCGCUCCACACACUCCUUCAUGGAUUUCCCCCAUCAAACUUCUAGCCUCAUCAUCGCCCAAGCAUCGGAGAAGAAUUCCGUCGAUAGUUCGAUAAUACAAUUCAUUUUCAAGGAACACAUACUUGGUUGCUUGAAAUCGAACCCGUCUUUCAACUUUUUUGGAUGGAUCUUUUAGAUAAUCAAUAAUUUCUUUCCUCCAAUCACCGGCACCGACUGCCGAUGUCGCAUUAAUCAUUGGCUGAUAUCCCGAGGCAUGCUGAGCUAACCGAUUAGCGUCUUCAUUAUGCAAUCGGGGAACAUGCUCCAAUCGGAAAUCCUUGAAUUCCUUUAACAGUUGCAUACUUCUCUCGAAAUAAGUUAUGAGAACUUCACUUCGGCAUUCAUAGCUUCCGGCCAAUUGAUUUAUAACCAACAUAGAAUCCCCGAAUAUUUCAACAGCAUCAGCACGAACUUCUCUUAACAACUCCAAUCCCUUGAUCAGAGCCUGAUACUCAGCCUGAUUAUUUGUUGAUGUGGCAACAAUCGGCAAGGAAAACUCAUACUUCCUCCCCUUAGGGGAAACUAAUACAAUGCCGAUUCCUGCCCCCCGGUCACAGGUAGAUCCAUCAAAGAAGAGCGUCCAGGGUACAAUCUCCAAGGUUUCCACUAGACCGCAAUGCUGAGUCACAAAAUCGGCCAUAAUCUGCCCUUUGACUGCCUUAGCCGAUUCGUAACGCAAAUCGAACUCCGACAGCGCUAAAAUCCAUUUACCGAUCCUACCACUCAUAAUCGGCAUAGAUAGCAUGUAUCGCACCAUGUCAUCUUUGCAAACAACAGUGCAUUCGGCCGAUAACAGGUAAUGUCUCAGCUUGAUACAUGAAAAAUAUAAGCAUAAGCAUAGUUUCUCAAUGGCCGAAUACCUGGUUUCAGCAUCAAUCAACCUCCUACUCAAAUAAUAAAUUACCCUUUCUUUCCCUUCAAAUUCUUGAACUAAAGCUGAACCGAUAACCGAUCCAUCGGUAGAUAAAUACAAUCUGAAGGGCUUCCCUUGUUGAGGUGGAACUAGAACUGGAGGAUUUACUAGAUAC
RNAcentral lists this long non-coding RNA (13491 nucleotides) under Sorghum bicolor (sorghum). RNAcentral's name for it is "long non-coding RNA (SBIC_LNC002503)". The record is from RNAcentral. Lineage: Eukaryota; Viridiplantae; Streptophyta; Magnoliopsida; Poales; Poaceae.